GUGUCAGCAGCCGCGGUAAUACGAAGGUGGCAAGCGUUACUCGGAAUUACUAGGCGUAAAGGGCAGGUAGGUGGUUUGAUAAGUCUGUUGUGUAAGCUCCCGGCUUAACCGGGAGAGGUCAACGGAUACUGUCAGACUUGAGUAUAGGAGAGGAUGCUGGAAUUCCCGGUGUAGCGGUGAAAUGCGCAGAUAUCGGGAGGAACACCAAUGGCGAAAGCAGGCAUCUGGACUAUUACUGACGCUAAGCUGCGAAAGCUAGGGGAGCAAACAGGAUUAGAAACCCUCGUAGUCC
RNAcentral lists this ribosomal RNA (292 nucleotides) under uncultured bacterium. RNAcentral's name for it is "partial 16S ribosomal RNA". It matches the Rfam family "Bacterial small subunit ribosomal RNA", at positions 505 to 796 of the family's 1533-position model. The record is from RNAcentral.